GCCUGGGUGGCUCAGUCAGUUGAGCGUCCGACUUCAGCUCAAGUCAUGAUCUCACAGUUCGUGGGUUCGAGCCCCAUAUCAGGCU
RNAcentral lists this transfer RNA (85 nucleotides) under Felis catus (domestic cat). It matches the Rfam family "tRNA". Rfam says of the family: Transfer RNA (tRNA) molecules are approximately 80 nucleotides in length. Their secondary structure includes four short double-helical elements and three loops (D, anti-codon, and T loops). The record is from Rfam by way of RNAcentral. Lineage: Eukaryota; Metazoa; Chordata; Mammalia; Carnivora; Felidae.